UACAGAGGUCUCAAGCGUUGUUCGGAUUCAUUGGGCGUAAAGGGUGCGUAGGCGGCGCGGUAAGUCGGGUGUGAAAUCUCGGAGCUUAACUUCGAAACUGCAUUCGAUACUGCCGUGCUUGAGGACUGGAGAGGAGACUGGAAUUUACGGUGUAACGGUGAAAUGCGUAGAUAUCGUAAGGAAGACCAGUGGCGAAGGCGGGUCUCUGGACAGUUCCUGACGCUGAGGCACGAAGGUCAGGGGAGCAAACGGG
RNAcentral lists this ribosomal RNA (253 nucleotides) under uncultured bacterium. Its description in RNAcentral is "partial 16S ribosomal RNA". It matches the Rfam family "Bacterial small subunit ribosomal RNA", at positions 524 to 776 of the family's 1533-position model. The record is from RNAcentral.